This 337-nucleotide unclassified non-coding RNA is filed under the name uncultured fungus. RNAcentral's name for it is "sequence contains ITS1". Lineage: Eukaryota; Fungi. The record is from RNAcentral.
CACUCGAAGCUCUUCACGACCGUCGGUGGCUCGACGCGCCCUGCGCGGCCGCUGAUCGCGCCGAUCGUGCGCAGGAUGUUCAUGACGCCGGUGACGUGCCGUGCGACGUCCUCCUCGAUGAGCUGGCCGCGGCCGCCGGAUUCGGCGAGCAUCGCCGCGACUCCGUUCUCGGCCGCGACGGCCAUCAGCGUGCCCGGGCGUUCGCCGGUCGGCGCGCUCUUCACGGCCCAGCGCGCGCCGUAGGCGUUCGCCAUGGCCUGGAUGCGCCCGUUAAGCGCUCCGUUCUGGGUCUCGCGGUAGAUGACGAAGGGGACGAGAUCCUCGAUGAGGUCGCCGG